RNAcentral lists this transfer RNA (75 nucleotides) under Candidatus Babela massiliensis. RNAcentral describes it as "tRNA-Gln (TTG) (tRNA-Gln-TTG-1-1)". It matches the Rfam family "tRNA". From Rfam's summary of the family: Transfer RNA (tRNA) molecules are approximately 80 nucleotides in length. Their secondary structure includes four short double-helical elements and three loops (D, anti-codon, and T loops). The record is from RNAcentral. Lineage: Bacteria; Candidatus Babeliae; Candidatus Babeliales; Candidatus Babeliaceae.
UGGGGUAUAGCCAAGUGGUAAGGCACCAGGUUUUGAUCCUGGCAUUCGGAGGUUCGAAUCCUUCUACCCCAGCCA